GAUGAACGCUGGCGGCGUGCCUAAUACAUGCAAGUCGAGCGAACAGACGAGGAGCUUGCUCCUCUGACGUUAGCGGCGGACGGGUGAGUAACACGUGGAUAACCUACCUAUAAGACUGGGAUAACUUCGGGAAACCGGAGCUAAUACCGGAUAAUAUAUUGAACCGCAUGGUUCAAUAGUGAAAGACGGUUUUGCUGUCACUUAUAGAUGGAUCCGCGCCGCAUUAGCUAGUUGGUAAGGUAACGGCUUACCAAGGCAACGAUGCGUAGCCGACCUGAGAGGGUGAUCGGCCACACUUGAACUGAUACACGGUCCAGACUCCUACGUGAGGCAGCAGUAGGGAAUCUUCCGGAAUGGGCGAAAGCCUGACGGAGCAACGCCGCGUGAGUGAUGAAGGUCUUCGGAUCGUAAAACUCUGUUAUUAGGGAAGAACAAAUGUGUAAGUAACUAUGCACGUCUUGACGGUACCUAAUCAGAAAGCCACGGCUAACUACGUG
Molecule: ribosomal RNA, 497 nt
Filed under: uncultured bacterium
Lineage: Bacteria
Description: partial 16S ribosomal RNA
Rfam family: Bacterial small subunit ribosomal RNA
Source: RNAcentral